CAGCAGCCGCGGGAAUACGAAGGGGGCUAGCGUUGCUCGGAAUGACUGGGCGUAAAGGGCGCGUAGGCGGUUCGUACAGUCGGAUGUGAAAUUCCUGGGCUUAACCUGGGGGCUGCAUUCGAUACGUGCGGGCUUGAGUGUGGAAGAGGGUUGUGGAAUUUCCGGUGUAGCGGUGAAAUGCGUAGAGAUCUGGAGGAAUACCGGUGGCGAAGGCGGCCCCCUGGACAAAGACUGACGCUCAGGUGCGAAAGCGUGGGGAGCAAACAGGAUUAGAUACCCCAGUAGUCCCUGUCUCUUAUAU
Molecule: ribosomal RNA, 301 nt
Filed under: uncultured bacterium
Lineage: Bacteria
Description: partial 16S ribosomal RNA
Rfam family: Bacterial small subunit ribosomal RNA
Source: RNAcentral